GCCUCUGUAGUAUAACGGCUAUUAUACUUGAUUUGUAAUCUAGAGAUUCGGGUUCGAUUCCUGAUAGAGGCUCAA
This 75-nucleotide transfer RNA is filed under the name Chryseobacterium sp. RNAcentral describes it as "tRNA-Thr". It matches the Rfam family "tRNA". From Rfam's summary of the family: Transfer RNA (tRNA) molecules are approximately 80 nucleotides in length. Their secondary structure includes four short double-helical elements and three loops (D, anti-codon, and T loops). Lineage: Bacteria; Pseudomonadati; Bacteroidota; Flavobacteriia; Flavobacteriales; Weeksellaceae. The record is from RNAcentral.